This 485-nucleotide ribosomal RNA is filed under the name Epicoccum sp. CJL-2014. Its description in RNAcentral is "eukaryotic LSU rRNA". The stretch from base 126 to 279 matches the Rfam family "5.8S ribosomal RNA". Lineage: Eukaryota; Fungi; Ascomycota; Dothideomycetes; Pleosporales; Didymellaceae. The record is from RNAcentral.
CGGUCUGCUACCUCUUACCCAUGUCUUUUGAGUACCUUCGUUUCCUCGGCGGGUCCGCCCGCCGAUUGGACAACAUUCAAACCCUUUGCAGUUGCAAUCAGCGUCUGAAAAAACAUAAUAGUUACAACUUUCAACAACGGAUCUCUUGGUUCUGGCAUCGAUGAAGAACGCAGCGAAAUGCGAUAAGUAGUGUGAAUUGCAGAAUUCAGUGAAUCAUCGAAUCUUUGAACGCACAUUGCGCCCCUUGGUAUUCCAUGGGGCAUGCCUGUUCGAGCGUCAUUUGUACCUUCAAGCUCUGCUUGGUGUUGGGUGUUUUGUCUCGCCUCUGCGUGUAGACUCGCCUUAAAACAAUUGGCAGCCGGCGUAUUGAUUUCGGAGCGCAGUACAUCUCGCGCUUUGCACUCAUAACGGCGACGUCCAAAAGUACAUUUUUACACUCUUGACCUCGGAUCAGGUAGGGAUACCCGCUGAACUUAAGCAUAUCA